RNAcentral lists this long non-coding RNA (328 nucleotides) under Vitis vinifera (wine grape). RNAcentral describes it as "long non-coding RNA (VVIN_LNC007227)". The record is from RNAcentral. Lineage: Eukaryota; Viridiplantae; Streptophyta; Magnoliopsida; Vitales; Vitaceae.
CUUCCAUGCAAAGUUUGGGUGGUUCCUCCAGCUAGAGUUGUAUGUGUUGCCAUAGGGAGCAUUUGAAUUUGGCUUCCAUUGGCCAAUCAGGUUAGCUUGUUCCCCGAACAUUUCUCUUGCUGCUGGAAUGGUGGGACAUUCUUCCACCAUAUGUUCAAAUGACUGACAGAUGGAGCAAGGAUUGGCUUGUUGUUGAGGUUCUGAAAUAGCUUGGACUUCGUGAACUUUUCUCAACUCCAUUUCCUCUAUUUUUCUAGCCAUGGCAGCUACCUUGGCUUUCAUCUCCAUGUCUUCACUCAGAUUGUACAUUCCUCCUCUUGCCAUUCGC